GACGAACGCUGGCGGCGUGCUUAACACAUGCAAGUCGAACGGAAAGGCCCUGCUUUUGUGGGGUGCUCGAGUGGCGAACGGGUGAGUAACACGUGAGUAACCUGCCCUUGACUUUGGGAUAACUUCAGGAAACUGGGGCUAAUACCGGAUAGGAGCUCCUGCUGCAUGGUGGGGGUUGGAAAGUUUCGGCGGUUGGGGAUGGACUCGCGGCUUAUCAGCUUGUUGGUGGGGUAGUGGCUUACCAAGGCUUCGACGGGUAGCCGGCCUGAGAGGGUGACCGGCCACAUUGGGACUGAGAUACGGCCCAGACUCCUACGGGGGGCAGCAGUGGGGAAUAUUGCACAAUGGGCGGAAGCCUGAUGCAGCAACGCCGCGUGCGGGAUGACGGCCUUCGGGUUGUAAACCGCUUUCGCCUGUGACGAAGCGUGAGUGACGGUAAUGGGUAAAGAAGCACCGGCUAACUACGUG
This 468-nucleotide ribosomal RNA is filed under the name uncultured bacterium. RNAcentral describes it as "partial 16S ribosomal RNA". It matches the Rfam family "Bacterial small subunit ribosomal RNA", at positions 28 to 507 of the family's 1533-position model. The record is from RNAcentral.